AAUGGCCUUUCUCUAUACAAAGAAUAAACAGGCUGAGAAAGAAAUUAGGGAAACAACACCCUUCUCAAUAGUCACAAAUAAUAUAAAAUAUCUUGGCGUGACUCUAACUAAGGAGGUGAAAGAUCUGUAUGAUAAAAACUUCAAAUCUCUGAAGAAAGAAAUUAAAGAAGAUCUCAGAAGAUGGAAAGAUCUCCCAUGCUCAUGGAUUGGCAGGAUCAACAUUGUAAAAAUGGCUAUCUUGCCAAAAGCAAUCUACAGAUUCAAUGCAAUCCCCAUCAAAAUUCCAACUCAAUUCUUCAACGAAUUGGAAGGAGCAAUUUGCAAAUUUGUCUGGAAUAACAAAAAACCUAGGAUAGCAAAAAGUCUUCUCAAGGAUAAAAGAACUUCUGGCGGAAUCACCAUGCCAGACCUAAAGCUUUACUACAGAGCAAUUGUGAUAAAAACUGCAUGGUACUGGUAUAGAGACAGACAAGUAGACCAAUGGAAUAGAAUUGAAGAUCCAGAAAUGAACCCACACACCUAUGGUCACUUGAUCUUCGACAAGGGAGCUAAAACCAUCCAGUGGAAGAAAGACAGCAUUUUCAACAAUUGGUGCUGGCACAACUGGUUGUUAUCGUGUAGAAGAAUGCGAAUCGAUCCAUACUUAUCUCCUUGUACUAAGGUCAAAUCUAAGUGGAUCAAGGAACUUCACAUAAAACCAGAGACACUGAAACUUAUAGAGGAGAAAGUGGGGAAAAGCCUUGAAGAUAUGGGCACAGGGGAAAAAUUCCUGAACAGAACAGCAAUGGCUUGUGCUGUAAGAUCGAGAAUGGACAAAUGGGACCUAAUGAAACUCCAAAGUUUCUGCAAGGCAAAAGACACCAUCAAUAAGACAAAAAGACCACCAACAGAUUGGGAAAGGAUCUUUACCUAUCCUAAAUCAGAUAGGGGACUAAUAUCCAACAUAUAUAAAGAACUCAAGAAGGUGGACUUCAGAAAAUCAAAUAACCCCAUUAAAAAAUGGGGCUCAGAACUGAACAAAGAAUUCUCACCUGAGGAAUACCGAAUGGCAGAGAAGCACUUGAAAAAAUGUUCAACAUCCUUAAUCAUCAGGGAAAUGCAAAUCAAAACAACCCUGAGAUUCCACCUCACACCAGUCAGAAUGGCUAAGAUCAAAAAUUCAGGUGACAGCAGAUGCUGGCGAGGAUGUGGAGAAAGAGGAACACUCCUCCAUUGUUGGUGGGAGUGCAGGCUUGUACAACCACUCUGGAAAUCAGUCUGGCGGUUCCUCAGAAAACUGGACAUAGUACUACCGGAGGAUCCAGCAAUACCUCUCCUGGGCAUAUAUCCAGAAGAUGCCCCAACAGGUAAGAAGGACACAUGCUCCACUAUGUUCAUAGCAGCCUUAUUUAUAAUAGCCAGAAGCUGGAAAGAACCUAGAUGCCCCUCAACAGAGGAAUGGAUACAGAAAAUGUGGUACAUCUACACAAUGGAGUACUACUCAGCUAUUAAAAAGAAUGAAUUUAUGAAAUUCCUAGCAAAAUGGAUGGACCUGGAGGGCAUCAUCCUGAGUGAGGUAACACAUUCACAAAGAAACUCACACAAUAUGUAUUCACUGAUAAGUGGAUAUUAGCCCCAAACCUAGGAUACCCAAGAUAUAAGAUAUAAUUUGCUAAACACAUGAAACUCAAGGAGAAUGAAGACUGAAGUGUGGACACUAUGCCCCUCCUUAGAUUUGGGAACAAAACACCCAUGGAAGGAGUUACAGAGACGGAGUUUGGAGCUGAGAUGAAAGGAUGGACCAUGUAGAGACUGCCAUAGCCAGGGAUCCACCCCAUAAUCAGCAUCCAAACGCUGACACCAUUGCAUACACUAGCAAGAUUUUAUUGAAAGGACGCAGAUGUAGCUGUCUCUUGUGAGACUAUGCCGGGGCCCAGCAAACACAGAAGUGGAUGCUCACAGUCAGCUAAUGGAUGGAUCAUAGGGCUCCCAAUGGAGGAGCUAGAGAAAGUAGCCAAGGAGCUAAAGGGAUCUGCAACCCUAUAGGUGGAACAACAUUAUGAGCUAACCAGUACCCCGGAGCUCUUGACUCUAGCUGCAUAUAUAUCAAAAGAUGGCCUAGUCGGCCAUCACUGGAAAGAGAGGCCCAUUGGACUUGCAAACUUUAUAUGCCCCAGUACAGGGGAAUACCAGGGCCAAAAAGGGGGAGUGGGUGGGCAGGGGAGUGGGGGUGGGUGGAUAUGGGGGACUUUUGGUAUAGCAUUGGAAAUGUAAAUGAGUUAAAUACCUAAUAAAAAAAUGGA
This 2282-nucleotide long non-coding RNA is filed under the name Mus musculus (house mouse). RNAcentral describes it as "predicted gene, 47031". The record is from RNAcentral. Lineage: Eukaryota; Metazoa; Chordata; Mammalia; Rodentia; Muridae.